UCUGGAAAGAAGUGCUAACAAAAAACUACGCUUCCUUCUCCUUAAAACUGCGGAAACAUCUAGGUAUCAAAAUCCCUAGAUGUUCCUCAGUUAGUGAAGGUGUAAGGGUUGGUCGCCUUGGCCUAACCCCACAAUGAUGUAGGGAUUGGUUUACUAAUGAUACUAUGCGUGAUAGACGUAUAACUUCUGAACGGUGUUUGAUUUAUUUAAUACUAUAAUAACACUAGUUUUGCAGGUAUUAACUUCGCACGUAACAGCUCGUAAGGCGAAGCGUCUCUGAGGGCCUAUUCUCGAGUUUCGUGUGAAUUUAGUCGUAUACGAACACUUUAUACGAAUCGUUCACAUACGAAAACGAUAUUCUGGAGCACUAACGAAUCACUGAUUCGUAUACGUAUGAAAUUACAGUAUUGCCAGAUUUACGCGUUGGAGACGAACCAAUGAUUGUUCAACUUUAGAAAAUACCAACGGAAAUAUACAUGACGUCCUGUCAAUGUCACGUGUAGUUUUCCGUAAACGAGAACGCUGUGCAAGAGGCCCUAGCCGUCCGUUUAUUACACUCAAGUUGUAAUGUUUUAUUGCGGCCACGGGAUGCGACGGUACUUCCGAGUGACCAUGGGUUUUCCCAAAUUUAGAAACUUGGCAGCAUUAACCGAGAAGCGUUUGAGAAAAGGCAGUAGUAGUCCACAAUCGUUUGCGGAAACACCGUGGAAAAAAUUGUGUGAAAGAAAAAUGUGCGACGAGGUUAAGCUAACAAAACGAAUGGGGAACAUACCCCCGAACGAAAAGAAAUUCUCAUUGAAUUUAUUGAAGGAAAUCCAAACCUAACGAGAUCGAAAUUUUCGGCCGAUUACACGUAUAAGGAUGGGCAGCGUUUAUGGCAAGAAGUUACCAAUAUUUUGAAACGCUUUGCCAGGGACGAAGAAAGACUGGAAACAAUGGAGACGUACGUGGCAAGAUUUCCGAGGCAAAGCGAAGGCUAAGCAGUCUUUACUUAAUAGAAAUUUAAAUGCCACAGGCGGUGGUCCAUUAAGUACAGAGAAUUUAUCGGUGGAGGAGGAACGUGUCCUCAACACAAUACAUCCUACACAAGUGAAGGGUGAUUCCAAUGUAGAUGAAACGCCGAUACAAUUUGACUACUCUGAAGAUAUUUGGAUGCAAACUUGGUGGACGACGAGAAGGUGGAAACACCAGCAGACGCCCAACCUGGCCCUUCAACGGUAGUGGAGAGACCAACAAUUAAGAUAGAAAAAGUGAGAUUUAUAGUCAGAAACACCCUCUGCGUCAAGCCACUAAAUCACAAAAACAAACUGGCAUGAGAUCACAAUCUUCAGUGCUUCUGGCACGAAUAGCCGAGGAAGACAAAGAAAAUAGGAAGGAGUAUUAUAAUAAAAAAUUGGCAUUACUGGAGAGGGAUGUAGUAGCCAAAGAAAGAAUUGCGACAGCCUUAGAAACUUUGGCUACUACACACUAUGGAUAAAUCAUAUGAAAGUUCUAUUGAUUACUUUGUUUUUAGUAAUUAUGCAAUACCUUAUUCUUAAUUACUGAGUAAUUCAAUUACUUACAACUACCCAGAAAGUAAUUAAAAGAUAUCCCAAAUCUAAAGUAUAUAAAAUUACCUCAAAAUAAUUAAAAAGUAAUUAUAAUUAUCUUUUAAUUACAUUUAGAUAUUUUUAUUUACUUUAGAUUUGGAAUACCUUUUAAUUACUUUCUGGGUAGUUAUAAGAAAUUAUUUAAAAGUAAUUGAAUUACUCAGUAAUUAAGAAUAAUGUAUUGCAUAAUUACUAAAAAGAAAGUACUCAAGAAUUACUUAAAAUUACUUAAACUAUGUACGUUAUGCAUAUUUUUCUUAGUGGAAUAGGCCUAUUGGGGACACCACUUAAAAAAAAACGCGUUGACAGCAAAAUUACCUCAUGGGUAACGUGGAAAGAUAUUGGAAUUGUAAUGGAAAAUAGGUACAAAUAAUUUUUUCAUAACAGUAUAGGGUAAAACAUUUACUAGAUGAAUUCGAAUGUAAUUAUUCCAAAUUGUAAUGAAUGCAAAAGUAAUCAUUACUUUACAGCUCUGUAUACAAGUUAAGGUGCCUGUACAUAUCUACUUUAAAAUAGUAAUGUAAUAAUAAAGUAGUUAUAAAAAUGACUGAUAUUCUAUUAUUAAGGGUGCGCAGGAGACAAACUGGCGCCACCAACGGAAAGUAGGUGAACUACUAGAUAGUUUUUCCCGUUUUUCAGGCACAAUAAUGAAAAAAACAUAUAAUAAUUAUGCAUUUCGUAAUCAGGGGAAGUAAAUCUAUCGUCUCGUCAAGCGUUUAUUGGAAAAAAUUGAAAAAAAAAAAAAUUUCUUGUCUUUGAACGUAUUUUUAGCACGUUUCAAAAGCGAAUUGCAAAAUAUGUAACUGUCCCCCGCAACGGUAUUUUAUAAGGAACAGUUUAAAAAAAAAAUCAGCCGGAAAGGUCGCUUCCUCGCCUCAUAAAAUUACAAUAACUGUUUGGAAAAUUGCAAACGUUGACAUCAUUCUGUCUUUGUCUCUCCUCCGAUUGAUGUAUCUCCCUCUCUGUCACAGCAUCAUUAGAGAGACAAGGAUCUAUGUAUCCUUGUCCUAGAGCUUCCUACUUUCUCCGCAACUGUCGCUGAAGUCAACUCGGACUUUUGCUGGGUCUCCUGUAUAGAAUUGAAUACAAUUCAAUGAAUAUCUCAGUUGCACGCUCGCCAAACUCUGGAAAAACCCCACGCCGAUGCGACGGUAGCGCCAACCUGACCAAUCCUAGGGGA
Molecule: long non-coding RNA, 2769 nt
Organism: Hylaeus volcanicus
Lineage: Eukaryota; Metazoa; Arthropoda; Insecta; Hymenoptera; Colletidae
Exons: 4
Source: RefSeq, a predicted model, not a curated record